GCAUAUCAAUAAGCGGAGGAAAAGAAAAUAACAAUGAUUUCCCUAGUAACGGCGAGUGAAGAGGAAAGAGCUCAAAGUUGGAAACUGUUUGGCUUAGCUAAACCGUAUUGUAAACUGUAGAAACAUUUUCCUGGCACACCAGAUUAAUAAGUCCUUUGGAACAAGGCAUCAUGGAGGGUGAGAAUCCCGUCUUUGAUCUGAGUAGUUGUCUUUUGUGAUAUGUUUUCAAAGAGUCAGGUUGUUUGGGAAUGCAGCCUAAAUUGGGUGGUAAAUCUCACCUAAAGCUAAAUAUUUGCGAGAGACCGAUAGCGAACAAGUACCGUGAGGGAAAGAUGAAAAGAACUUUGAAAAGAGAGUUAAACAGUAUGUGAAAUUGUUAAAAGGGAACCGUUUGGAGCCAGACUGGUUUGCCUGUAAUCAACCUAGAAUUCGUUUUGGGUGCACUUGCAGGCUAUACCUGCCAACAACAGUUUGAUUUGGAGGAAAAAAUUAGUAGGAAUGUAGCCUCUCGAGGUGUUAUAGCCUACUAUCAUACUCUGGAUUGGACUGAGGAACGCAGCGAAUGCCUUUAGGCAAGAUUGCUGGGUGCUUUCGCUAAUAAAUGUUAGAAUUUCUGCUUCGGGUGGUGCUAAUGUUUAAAGGAGGAACACAUCUAGUAUAUUUUAUCUAUUCGCUUAGGUUGUUGGCUUAAUGACUCUAAAUGACCCGUCUUGAAACACGGACC
This 724-nucleotide ribosomal RNA is filed under the name Mucor sp. JCM 28519. RNAcentral's name for it is "eukaryotic LSU rRNA". It matches the Rfam family "Eukaryotic large subunit ribosomal RNA", at positions 38 to 667 of the family's 3401-position model. Lineage: Eukaryota; Fungi; Mucoromycota; Mucoromycetes; Mucorales; Mucoraceae. The record is from RNAcentral.